GGUUAAGCGACUAAGCGUACACGGUGGAUGCCCUGGCAGUCAGAGGCGAUGAAGGACGUGCUAAUCUGCGAAAAGCGCCGGCGAGGUGAUAUGAACCUUUGACCCGGCGAUGUCCGAAUGGGGAAACCCAGUGUGUUCCGACACACUAUCGUUAACUGAAUACAUAGGUUAACGAGGCGAACCGGGGGAACUGAAACAUCUAAGUACCCCGAGGAAAAGAAAUCAACCGAGAUUCCCCCAGUAGCGGCGAGCGAACGGGGAGCAGCCCAGAGUCUGAAUCAGCUUGUGUGUUAGUGGAAGCGUCUGGAAAGUCGCACGGUACAGGGUGACAGUCCCGUACACGAAAGCACACAGGUUGUGAACUCGAAGAGUAGGGCGGGACACGUGGUAUCCUGUCUGAAUAUGGGGGGACCAUCCUCCAAGGCUAAAUACUCCUGACUGACCGAUAGUGAACCAGUACCGUGAGGGAAAGGCGAAAAGAACCCCGGCGAGGGGAGUGAAAAAGAACCUGAAACCGUGUACGUACAAGCAGUGGGAGCACCUUCGUGGUGUGACUGCGUACCUUUUGUAUAAUGGGUCAGCGACUUAUAUUCUGUAGCAAGGUUAACCGUAUAGGGGAGCCGAAGGGAAACCGAGUCUUAACUGGGCGUUAAGUUGCAGGGUAUAGACCCGAAACCCGGUGAUCUAGCCAUGGGCAGGUUGAAGGUUGGGUAACACUAACUGGAGGACCGAACCGACUAAUGUUGAAAAAUUAGCGGAUGACUUGUGGCUGGGGGUGAAAGGCCAAUCAAACCGGGAGAUAGCUGGUUCUCCCCGAAAGCUAUUUAGGUAGCGCCUCGUGAACUCAUCUUCGGGGGUAGAGCACUGUUUCGGCUAGGGGGCCAUCCCGGCUUACCAACCCGAUGCAAACUACGAAUACCGAAGAAUGUUAUCACGGGAGACACACGGCGGGUGCUAACGUCCGUCGUGAAGAGGGAAACAACCCAGACCGCCAGCUAAGGUCCCAAAGUCAUGGUUAAGUGGGAAACGAUGUGGGAAGGCACAGACAGCCAGGAUGUUGGCUUAGAAGCAGCCAUCAUUUAAAGAAAGCGUAAUAGCUCACUGGUCGAGUCGGCCUGCGCGGAAGAUGUAACGGGGCUAAACCAUGCACCGAAGCUGCGGCAGCGACGCUUAUGCGUUGUUGGGUAGGGGAGCGUUCUGUAAGCCGUUGAAGGUGGCCUGUGAGGGUUGCUGGAGGUAUCAGAAGUGCGAAUGCUGACAUAAGUAACGAUAAAGCGGGUGAAAAGCCCGCUCGCCGGAAGACCAAGGGUUCCUGUCCAACGUUAAUCGGGGCAGGGUGAGUCGACCCCUAAGGCGAGGCCGAAAGGCGUAGUCGAUGGGAAACAGGUUAAUAUUCCUGUACUUGGUGUUACUGCGAAGGGGGGACGGAGAAGGCUAUGUUAGCCGGGCGACGGUUGUCCCGGUUUAAGCAUGUAGGCGGAGGUUCCAGGUAAAUCCGGUACCUUUUAACGCUGAGGUGUGAUGACGAGGCACUACGGUGCUGAAGUAACAAAUGCCCUGCUUCCAGGAAAAGCCUCUAAGCAUCAGGUAACAUCAAAUCGUACCCCAAACCGACACAGGUGGUCAGGUAGAGAAUACCAAGGCGCUUGAGAGAACUCGGGUGAAGGAACUAGGCAAAAUGGUGCCGUAACUUCGGGAGAAGGCACGCUGAUAUGUAGGUGAAGCCCCUGCGGGUGGAGCUGAAAUCAGUCGAAGAUACCAGCUGGCUGCAACUGUUUAUUAAAAACACAGCACUGUGCAAACACGAAAGUGGACGUAUACGGUGUGACGCCUGCCCGGUGCCGGAAGGUUAAUUGAUGGGGUUAGCGGCAACGCGAAGCUCUUGAUCGAAGCCCCGGUAAACGGCGGCCGUAACUAUAACGGUCCUAAGGUAGCGAAAUUCCUUGUCGGGUAAGUUCCGACCUGCACGAAUGGCGUAAUGAUGGCCAGGCUGUCUCCACCCGAGACUCAGUGAAAUUGAACUCGCUGUGAAGAUGCAGUGUACCCGCGGCAAGACGGAAAGACCCCGUGAACCUUUACUAUAGCUUGACACUGAACACUGGUCCUUGAUGUGUAGGAUAGGUGGGAGGCUUUGAAGCGUGGACGCCAGUCUGCGUGGAGCCGUCCUUGAAAUACCACCCUUUAAUGGCUGGUGUUCUAACGUAGACCCGUAAUCCGGGUUGCGGACAGUGUCUGGUGGGUAGUUUGACUGGGGCGGUCUCCUCCCAAAGAGUAACGGAGGAGCACGAAGGUUAGCUAAUCCUGGUCGGACAUCAGGAGGUUAGUGCAAUGGCAUAAGCUAGCUUGACUGCGAGAGUGACGGCUCGAGCAGGUGCGAAAGCAGGUCAUAGUGAUCCGGUGGUUCUGAAUGGAAGGGCCAUCGCUCAACGGAUAAAAGGUACUCCGGGGAUAACAGGCUGAUACCGCCCAAGAGUUCAUAUCGACGGCGGUGUUUGGCACCUCGAUGUCGGCUCAUCACAUCCUGGGGCUGAAGUAGGUCCCAAGGGUAUGGCUGUUCGCCAUUUAAAGUGGUACGCGAGCUGGGUUUAGAACGUCGUGAGACAGUUCGGUCCCUAUCUGCCGUGGGCGCUGGAGAAUUGAGGGGGGCUGCUCCUAGUACGAGAGGACCGGAGUGGACGCAUCACUGGUGUUCGGGUUGUCAUGCCAAUGGCACUGCCCGGUAGCUAAAUGCGGAAAAGAUAAGUGCUGAAAGCAUCUAAGCACGAAACUUGCCCCGAGAUGAGUUCUCCCUGAGACUUUAAGUCUCCUGAAGGAACGUUGAAGACGACGACGUUGAUAGGUCGGGUGUGUAAGCGCAGCGAUGCGUUGAGCUAACCGAUACUAAUGAACCGUGAGGCUUAACCUU
Molecule: ribosomal RNA, 2905 nt
Filed under: Enterobacter roggenkampii
Lineage: Bacteria; Pseudomonadati; Pseudomonadota; Gammaproteobacteria; Enterobacterales; Enterobacteriaceae
Description: 23S ribosomal RNA
Rfam family: Bacterial large subunit ribosomal RNA
Source: RNAcentral